UUGACUAUACUUUCAGGGAUCAUUUCUAUAGUUUGUUACAUAGAUUAGGGGAACAAUAUCUGAGUAUAACAUACUGGUUUGUCAAGUAGGUUCUAAGCCAUUAGGUGGAACCAACUUGAAGACAGA
Molecule: small nucleolar RNA, 126 nt
Filed under: Moschus moschiferus (Siberian musk deer)
Lineage: Eukaryota; Metazoa; Chordata; Mammalia; Artiodactyla; Moschidae
Description: Small nucleolar RNA U3 (ENSMMSG00000023274.1)
Rfam family: Small nucleolar RNA U3
About the family: Small nucleolar RNAs (snoRNAs) are involved in the processing and modification of rRNA in the nucleolus.
Source: Rfam by way of RNAcentral